This is a long non-coding RNA of Gallus gallus (chicken), 8084 nucleotides long. RefSeq lists it as uncharacterized. NCBI's taxonomy places the organism in Eukaryota, Metazoa, Chordata, Aves, Galliformes, Phasianidae. The record is from RefSeq and is a predicted model, not a curated record. The transcript is spliced from 4 exons.
AUCCAUAUCGCAUCCAAAAACCGCUCGGUACGUGAAUGCAUCUUCACGUGUUUUGCGCCAUAAUCUCGGGGUCGCUUUGCUAGAGCCGAACCAGCGUGAUGGACCGCGUCGCUGGAAUCAGAAACCUUCAUUGAACUUUACAAGCCCGGUGAAAUACCGAGCGCCACUGACGCUGCUUUGUUGCGGAGUGCCUCCGACUUGCGGCGGUUAAAGAGUUUAAUAAAACUUACAUUAGCUUUCUUGGAUUUUUAUAGUCCUGAAUUUAUUGCCUGUGGAAAAAGAAAGGGGCAAAAAAAGGGAUCCCUCGCCUUUCCAGUCACGGUGUUCCCCCCCCCCCUCCCGCACACCUCGCUCGCACCACCGCAUGUAUGCGUGCGUGCCACCCCCCCGCUCUCUCCCCGAUCGCGUUAUCGACGAUCCGACUCAUUUCGGCUUCAUUUUAAUUAGAAUUAUAAUUUUUAUUUCUCUCUCUUUUUUUUUUUUUCCAGCCCUGGACGCGAUGAUUGACGCGCGGCUCCGGUUCGGUGCGGGUCCCGCCCGGCGAUGCGGGGUAACGGGGUCAGUUUUCCCGACUUAUUAUGACAAAUGCGUUUAUUGCGAGAUGAUCUGAUGGCGUCGUAAAUGUUGGUUAAGGAAAAGGUGCGCGGUGUGAUUAGGGCAAAAGUGUUUUCUGGACUUCAGCUGUAACAGUCUGGAUCAAUUCGCCUCCUUUAAUCUAUUGCCCCUCCGCCCUUCUUCCUCUCACCCCAACACAGAAGGAUAUUUAAUGUGAAGGGCAAAGAGAUUUCUAGGAAUGAUAAAUCAUCGCGAAUCCUUCCUGAGGUAUAUAGGGAUGUAAGUAUUAUAUAGCCUGUAUUAACGGGCUAAUAAUAACAUCGGAGGGUGCUAAUAGCCACCUGAAAUCAAGGAAAAGCGUAUUUCGCAUCUCUGUGAUACCGUAUGUGUGUGUAUAUGACUCCUAUGUGCUCGUCUGUACAAAACCUAUGUAUGAAUUUACUAUCAGAGGUGUUAUACUGAUACGGAGUGAUCAUUAAGGCGCUAAAAACCCGACACCCAAAUUGUUAGGUUCUCCCUUAUUCCCAUCAGCGGUGUUUUUCGAUGCCCCGCAGCGUGAUGAAGGGACAAUUCCCCGCAUCGAGAAGCAGAGACCCUCUGCAAGAGGCGCUGGGAAGAAGCUGUCCAUUUUCAUUUAAAAAAAGAACUAAUCGAGAGGGUCGGGAUGAUGGGCAGAGAGAGCCGGAGCCCAGUGCCGGAGAUCGGAUUUAUUUUUAAUUUUUACAUCAAUCAGGGUAAUAAGAGCCCCCCCACCCCACCCCCAGCCAGAGCAAAACGCUCCCUGGUCUGGAAAAGCAGAGGCAGUCUCGGGCUCCAGCCAAGGUGAGCUCUGAGUUAAGCUCUUGCAAAGACCGUCGCGAGUAAAUGUGACCAGGUGAGUCCUCACCGCCCGACAAACCUUCCUCUCCUUUCUGUGGGGUGCAUCCAAAGUAACCCCACUUCAUCCCUUUGCAUUUAAACUGGGGAAGGCAGAGAAAUCCCUACAAGUGAGCAGCGUGGGGCAGGAUCGCUGAUCUCCCAGACCAGGGCGAGCGACGGGAGGAAUUCCUGCUUUCCCCAACUACUCUUAUUUGCUCUUCCCUUUAACUCGUUACGGAGUUUUUGAACUUAAGGGAUCCCGUGUCAUCAGCCAUGCAAUGCGAGCUGCUUGCUCGGAUUGCCAUCGUCCUCCGCUUUAUUGCCUUCCAGACUUUACUCUUUUUAUUACAUCAGCCUAUUUCACAACAGAUUCGGAGGGACUCUGAAAAUGUUAUGAGAGCUUGGAAAAGGGAAGGGCUGAUUUAAGCGAGUUCUGGAGAUUAAACUCUCCUGGCUCGUGGAAAUGUGUUUAUACAAGUGAUGGAUAAACAGCCGUGUUGGCAUCGGGGUGUUGAAUAAGUAUAGAUAAAAUUAUUGAACGUUAAUUGAAGCAAAACACCUGUUCUCUGUUUGCUAGAUAGAUUGGCUGUGUCUUACCUGUAAUAAAUAUAUUCUUGGGAAAAAAAAAAUCCUGGUGCGCCUCCUAUAAAUAAUGAUGAACUGUGUCAGCAUGUGAGUAUAUAAUCUUCUGUAGUAUAUAAAUUCAGACCAAGAAGACUCUUAGGAGUGUGGCUGUGAGGCAAAGAGCAGGAGUUCUCAGAUCCCUGGUGGAUGGAAACCUCACAAGAUGAUCUGCCAAAUCCAUUUGCUUUCGCUCCUCUGGAGGUUUCCGUUUGUUCAGUAGUUUAUUUUUGAUGCAUAUUCCCAUAGCUCAUCUCUUUGUAACCUUUGCUGAGAGGGACUCCAGGCGAGCAGCCGCUCCAUCCCAGAUCUGGGAGCCCCGCUCGCGUGGUGCUGUCUGUUUCCUGUGACUUCAUACAUGAAAGCCUCAAAUAGACCCCGAAAGAAAUGGGAGAGGGAACCAAUUCCACACAGCGCUCCCCUUUGAAACACACAGCUGCAAAAAUUCAUCCUUAACAAACAGCUCCUCGGGUCGGUAUUGCUGCACCGCCAGCGACCAAACACAAAACGCCUUCACAAGAUGCAGCUUUCAGGUCUGCUCCACUGCCAUCUUUUGCUGAUGUGGAAGUUUUGGCAUCAGAAAAAUAAAAGAGCGGACGAUCCUAUUUAUUUAUUUUUAUUUAUUUUUGGCCGGCAACAUAUUUAAGCACUUUUACUAUUGUUAAGGGCAGUUGUUAUCGUUUAUUAGAAUUGGCACCUUCCUUUUCCAGAUGCUUUAGCACUGAGAUGAAGGAGGUGGGGGGGAUCCGGGGGUGCGGAGCUUUCUGCUGUGCUGGGAUGGGACGGGGGGGGUCCUAUCACGGUUUCGAGGUGGUGUGCAGUGUGCGUUACUUUGGAUACGUUCACUCUUCUUUUGCACGUUGGGUUUUGAAGGCGAUAAGGAUAUGCAAGAGGGGAUAACAGCUGAGAGCGAACCUCGCGGCUAUGGGGUGUCUGGAGACCAGAUUCAGAAAUCACUCAGCCUUCAAAGGGCUGAGCGUUAAUUUCGGAUAUGAAAAGUAUGCCGAAAUAAUAAUAAUAAUUAUUAAUAAUAAUAGAAAUAUUUUAAAACGGGGAAACAGUAAUAAAACCCCAGCUUAAAGCGCUCAUAAUUCCCAAACAACGCAUUUACGCGGAUCUAAGAGAGAAAACUUCAGUCCCAAACCCCCCCGAACUCACGAGAGCGGAACAAAAAUCCCUCUUGAGGAGUAAAACUCCUUUUUUUUUCUUUCUUUCUUUCUUUUUUUUUUAAUAAAAAAUGUGAAAUAAGUUUCUGUAGCCUGAAAGAAGAGGGUUCUACCUUUGCCAUUUCCUGUGCUAGCCCUCAGUUUGAAUGCGGCCGUCUGUUAAAAAUCCGUAAGUGGUGAGAAGAAGGGGGGGGGGGGUGAGGUGGGGGGGAGGCGGAAUUCCUUGUCUGAAGAGAAGCAAAAACAAGUUACACAUGUGGGGAAUUUUCCAAGAGCCGAAAGUAUACUCCGGCUAAAAAACACAAUUCCAAAUGAGGUUUGUAAUCUCAGCAGUUAAUAAAGCAUUUCGGUCCCCUGUAAAGUAAAAGCGUAUGCGCUUUGGAAAGGGGAAGCCGGAGGAGAGAAAGUUAAAAUAAAGUUGGAUUGUUGUUCAGGAGCCCACAUUUUAGCUACCAGACUAAUCCUCCCCCCUCCUCGCCUCCCUCCAUGAAAUCAUAUCGAGCUCCCACGCAAUAGCUGGGCGAUCGCUUCGCUCCCACUGCCGCCGGUUUGGGGGUUUUAUACCCUACUGCUGCUGAGUCCCCCGCGACGAUCUGCUGUGGGGUCACCGCCAGAUAGUGGGGAACCCCUCCACCCCCACCCCAAAAAUCGUCUGAAGUCUGGGAGGGAUCUGCCUCCACCACACCGAGGCAAGGCAGUAGGGUGGGAAAAGGGCACAGGUACGAGAAUUAAGUUCUGGAGGGAGAGUUUCUGUAAAACGUGUAGCGAUAAAAGAAUGUGCAGUAAUAAAAGAAAAGGGGGAGAUUCUUUCAGACGGGCUCUUUCCGCACCGCUUUUGCCCCCCCCCCCCCCACUACACACACACACCCCGAGUCGGGCCGAUAUGGGGCAGACGGGACCUUGGCAGGAGAGCAACUCGUGGGAAAUGUGUUGGACGAACAGCAGUUUCUCGCUGCCUCUUAGCGCAGAACUGCGCAUCACGUCGCAAUCGGGGCAGUUACCACGAGGAGGGGAUUUUCACCAUCCCCACACAGCUGCUUCUCCAGGGUGAACUGGAAAUGCAGACGGUGUGCAGAAACGAAACGAUCCCACAGCUCAGCGAGAGAAUACGUAAGAAUGAUCCCCAUAAACCCGACCCCAGUUUGGGGCGAUCGGAGCCGUCUCAGCCCCAUCCUGGGGCUCUGCACCAAACCCGGCAUCGUGAGCUGAGAUGGGGAGAGCGAGGGGAGCUUCGCUUACAGAAAUAUCAUCUAAUUAGUCCACAGAUGCGGCAAAUCUUCUAAAUUAAUCGAAUAAGACUUUAAGUCGCAACAGGAGCUUUGGGUGGAGCGGGUAAGGCUGAACCUCGAGAAAGAAUCCAGCAGCACUUAAAAGGGAGAAGGAAACGUUGGAUGGCAUUAAAGAAAAGGAGUUGGCAAAACACUUCCAGCAAACCUGCAGUCGGAUACGAGCAUCUACUUAUCCGACAUUAAACCUCUCUCUUCGCUAAGACUUUAUCGGUCCAACAAUUCAUUCGAUUUUUUUUUCCUAUUUUAUUUUUCAUGGGGAAAUCUGACCAAAAAUCUCAGUUUUAGUCUUCUUUUCUUUCUUUCUCCCCCCGAUUAAUCUUUUAAUUAUUUUUAGUUUAUACAUUUCAGGUUAUUUGGGAUUACGUUUAAAUCUCCGAAAAAAAAAAAUCAGUUAAGAAUGAAUAAAUUGAAGAGUAAUAUUGAUAAGAAUUCUAUGGAAAGACCCAACAGAAAUGCAUCCUUCUCUGGGUGUCCCCUUAAACAAAAUACCGCAUUUCUUCCUAUCCUACCAAUUUGUUGGAAAACUUAAUUAAGCUCGGCUACCUUCCAUUAUUUAUAUAAACCCUCCGUCCGGGAGACUUUAAGAGGUUUCUUCUCCGGUUUCCAACAUUGUUAUUAGAAAUCCAUAAAGCAGGGGAGGGGCAGGAAAUUAAAUUUAAAGGUACCUCAUUACGGCACAACUGCUUUCCUAUGGCAGCGGACGGAGACAACACAUGGCGGCAUAAAAGGCUGAGUCCCCCCAGCACGUAGACUUGGCAAUCCUCUCGAAAUGACCUUUUAAUUCCAAGCCUAGCAAGCUUCCGUCCACACAGCGGGCUCUAAGAGUCGGCAGAGAGGGGAGGAAAAUAAACUAAAAUAGAAGAGAGGACACCGAUGCGAAUGGAAGAGCCACGCAGAUGGAAAGCGUGGGGCGGAUGGUGGUUAGUAGUGGGUUUGACUGGGUGGGCAUCAGGAGAGGUAACCGCUAUUGGGGGGGAUUUGUUCCAGAAGUUCCCAGCUUUGCUCCAAGAGGGAUUUCCCUGCCGUGUGUCUGCAGUCCCCGAUUCGUUUCCCGCUGGAUAGUGCAGAUUAAGUGGGUUUCAGCCCAACGCAGAAACAAAGAAACGAUGCUAACCGUGAAGAGUCGGAACCGAGAAUAGACGGAACUCUCAACAGACGGUGCGGAGAAGUGGAGGUGCGAACAAAGAUCGGUUUUGCUCCCGAUCUUUGUUUUAAAGGAGAGCUUGAACUUUGAGAAGACAGAGGAAGAAAUGAUCAUAGAAGCUAAAGAAGGGGGAAGACGAUCAGCUCUGCUCGCCCGUCCGCAGAAGCAGCCAACAGCUUUCUAUCCGGACGGCUGCAGCUGAUGAGAAGCAUUAAGUAUUCUCGGGAAUCUACACGUGGGAAACUACAAAAAGACCAACACGUUACGAACACCACCUCCCUCCCCAGCACUCGGCGAGGCCGAAUCCAGCACCGACUUACCCAUUCCGCUCCUUCUCUUUUUAAUUAAGAUCACUUUUUAAGCAAACUCUCCCACUCCGAAGAAAAAAUAGCAAUAAUAAUAAUAAUAAGAGCCAAGGAAAUAUAUAAAGAAGAGGCAGCCCCACUCGUUGGCAGAGCAUCCUCCCACCACUUGUUAGAGCGAACCUUCCCCAGCUCCGGCCGAUUUCGCGUUAUUUCAUUUUUCUCACUCCUUUCCUAGACUGGCGAGAGAGCAAAGGAGCCUCCAGCAGAACGGACACCUCGAAAUCCCCAAUUGCGGUGGGUGCGAAGCCACGUCAUCCCAGAGCCGACUGAGGACAGAGGUUAUGCGGCACCGGGGAAGCUGCGGGCCCGGAGGGGUGGCUGGGUGCGGGACCCCCGGUGCCGGCUGCUGCCGACCCUUUUGCACCCCCAAAGGAGGUGCGAGGGGGGAAACAUCCCCUCAUCCCCCUCCUUUAGAGCUAAGGAGCCGAGGGUGGGUGGCGGAGAGGGGAGUGCUGGGAGCUGCCGGGUGACUGGUGGGCUCCGGCUUUGCGAAAACGGUAUUUUGGGAUAAGGUGGGGGGGGAGAGGGGGGCAAGUCUCUGCCGAUUGACUUAUCUGUUAGAAAAUGCGUGUGCAGGCGGCUUCCGGCGGGGCUCACCAAUCCGGGGCGGACGAGGCUGCUAAGACCAUCCCCUGGUGUCAAUUUUAAUGGGAAACUUCACCGCUUUGCGGGGGGGGAAGAGGGGGGGGGGGGGGGUGCCGCUGCUGCCGCUGCUGCCGCCGCGUAUUUUUUAAUACGAGGACGCGCGGCUGCGGCUCACGCCGACUUUCCCGUUGUUCCUCCCCGCUCCCUCCACUCCGACGCGUUUACUCACACCGCUAUUUCCAGCCUCCCCAUUUUUGGUAUGGGGGCUAUUUUGAGAAAACCCUUUCGGAGGUGAAACAAAACCCCUUGGUUAUACCGAGGCACGAAAACCCAUCCCCAAAAAAUCCAAAGCCAAGCCCAACUGCGUGCGCUCAGCCCGAAGCUUUUGCCAUAGGGGAGGGCUCAGCUCUGUCCCCGCAGCCCCAUGGGACAAAUCCUCACGUCCCCGCAGUCCAUUUGCCCUCGGGCUGUACAAGUCUACGUGCAGGGGAGGGGAAUUUUGUAUGUUACAUGCAAUAAAGCUGCGGUGCUUUUGGGAAUGGAAAAACCACUUGUCGCGUCGGGACACACAAGGAGGAGCCGGGAGGUGACACGCAGAUCCCCAUUGUGGGGUUAGCUCUGGAGCUUGCCCGGCUCAGGAAGCCGCACCCAGCCUGCUCCGAAUAGGAUUUAUACACUGGAUUAGCUGCCUGGCCUCGCACUGCAAUUUAACAAUCACCGGGGAUUCAUUUUGUCUCUAAGAAAAAAAAUAAAUGCGCUUUGUGGCGCAAUCCUCUGCAGGGCUGCAAUUGCCAAGGGAAAAACAAACAAACAACGCAACAACAACGCAACCAAACAUAAAAACCCCAAAUCCCUACAGCAACUCAGAGGGUUCCCGGUGGUUGGAGGCACCGUUUCCAAAAUGGCUCGAGCCGAGAGCGAGAAGAAAAAGGGGAAAAUUGGUUCUUCGUUAGAAUCUCUUUAAUCCAAUCUCUUCGUUAGUAAUCCGCAUCUCCUUCUGGAAUUAAGCCUGAGGGAAAGGAGUGCUGGAAAUCUGUUCAAGCUCAUGAUGGGAGGAGAUGGUUUAUAACCGCAACUGGUUCUGUAUUCGCGGCACAUACUCAAAAAAUAAAACGGAGCGGAUUUUAGUAGCUACUAAUGGGCAGUUAUUAUAGAAAGGGCAAUCGAAGGGAUUUAAAAGAUUUUGGAAAUUAGAGGUAUAAACCGAAAAUUCAUACAUAUGGAGAGGAAGAGAGAGGAGACUUUUUUCGAAGCUCUCCGAGACCCGGAGGGGUCUUUGCUCUCUUUUCUGUGGUCUCCUUUCCCGAUGCUCCCAGGACUGAGCGCAGCACCCGGAUUGCAGCAGCUGGGUGCUACAAAGUCGGGGGCUUUUCCCCCAUUUCAGCGCCUUUCUGCCUCUCUUCUCUUCCAAUCGCUUUCCCACUUGCUCUUUCAACAGCCUUUUGUACAGCAAUGGGGAACGUAGCCAAAAAUCCUCCAUUAAUAAAGAAUAUAAUUCCUC